RNAcentral lists this ribosomal RNA (442 nucleotides) under uncultured bacterium. RNAcentral's name for it is "partial 16S ribosomal RNA". It matches the Rfam family "Bacterial small subunit ribosomal RNA", at positions 338 to 795 of the family's 1533-position model. The record is from RNAcentral.
CCUACGGGAGGCAGCAGUGGGGAAUAUUGGGCAAUGGGCGCAAGCCUGACCCAGCAACGCCGCGUGAAGGAAGAAGGCUUUCGGGUUGUAAACUUCUUUUGUCAGGGAAGAGUAGAAGACGGUACCUGACGAAUAAGCCACGGCUAACUACGUGCCAGCAGCCGCGGUAAUACGUAGGUGGCAAGCGUUGUCCGGAUUUACUGGGUGUAAAGGGCGUGUAGCCGGGUUGACAAGUCAGAUGUGAAAUCCUGCGGCUUAACCGGAGAAAUGCAUUUGAAACUGUUGAUCUUGAGUACUGGAGAGGCAGACGGAAUUCCUAGUGUAGCGGUGAAAUGCGUAGAUAUUAGGAGGAACACCAGUGGCGAAGGCGGUCUGCUGGACAGCAACUGACGGUGAGGCGCGAAAGCGUGGGGAGCAAACAGGAUUAGAUACCCCAGUAGUC